RNAcentral lists this ribosomal RNA (425 nucleotides) under uncultured bacterium. RNAcentral's name for it is "partial 16S ribosomal RNA". It matches the Rfam family "Bacterial small subunit ribosomal RNA", at positions 354 to 796 of the family's 1533-position model. The record is from RNAcentral.
GUGGGGAAUCUUGCGCAAUGGGCGAAAGCCUGACGCAGCCAUGCCGCGUGAAUGAUGAAGGUCUUAGGAUUGUAAAAUUCUUUCACCGGGGACGAUAAUGACGGUACCCGGAGAAGAAGCUCCGGCUAACUUCGUGCCAGCAGCCGCGGUAAUACGGAGGGGGCUAGCGUUGUUCGGAAUUACUGGGUGUAAAGCGCGCGUAGGCGGAUUGGAAAGUUGGGGGUGAAAGCCCGGAGCUCAACUUCGGAAUUGCCUUCAAGACUGUCUCGCUCGAGGCAGGGAGAGGAGAGCGGAAUACCCAGUGUAGAGGUGAAAUUCGUAGAUAUUGGGUGGAACACCGGUGGCGAAGGCGGCUCUCUGGCCCUGAUCUGACGCUAAGGCGCGAAAGCGUGGGGAGCAAACAGGAUUAGAUACCCCUGUAGUCC